GGACUACAAGGGUUUCUAAUCCGUUUUGCUCCCCACGCUUUCGUGCCUCAAUGUCAGGAACAGAAUAGUUAACUGCCUUCGCCGUUAUUGGUGUUCUUCCAUAUAUCGUUGCAUUUUACCGCUCCACAUGGAGUUCCGUUAACCUCUCCUGCCCUCCAGUCGAAUAGUAUUAAUAGUUUCCACAAGGUUAGGCCUCGAUUUCCCACUACUAACUUAUUCGACCAUCUACGCACCCUUUACGCCCAAUAAUUCCGGAUAACGUUCGCCACCUACGUCUUACCGCGGCUGCUGGCAC
This 295-nucleotide ribosomal RNA is filed under the name uncultured bacterium. RNAcentral describes it as "partial 16S ribosomal RNA". The record is from RNAcentral.